RNAcentral lists this ribosomal RNA (566 nucleotides) under Acalles longipilis. RNAcentral describes it as "partial 16S ribosomal RNA". It matches the Rfam family "Bacterial large subunit ribosomal RNA", at positions 1802 to 2637 of the family's 2925-position model. Lineage: Eukaryota; Metazoa; Arthropoda; Insecta; Coleoptera; Curculionidae. The record is from RNAcentral.
GUUAUUAAAAACAUGGCUUAUUGAAUUAUAAUUUUAAGUCGGACCUGCCCAAUGAUUGAGUAGAUUGAAUGGCCGCAGUAAUUUGACUGUGCAAAGGUAGCAUAAUCAUUAGUUUUUUAAUUGAAAGCUUGUAUGAAAGGUUUGAUGAGAAAAAGACUGUCUCUAUUUAAAUUAAUUAGAAUUUUAUUUUUAAGUAAAAAAGCUUAAAUAGGUAUAGAAGACGAGAAGACCCUAUAGAGUUUUAUAUAUUUAUUUUUAAAAAUAUUUUAGAAUUAUAGGUUCAAGGAGAUUUAUAUAUUUGAUUGGGGUGAUAAAAAAAUUAAAGAAACUUUUUUUGUAUAAAAACAUUAAUAUAUGAAAUUUUGAUCCUUAAAAAAGAUUAGAAGUUUAAAUUACCUUAGGGAUAACAGCGUAAUUUUUUUUUAGAGUUCAAAUUAAAAAAAAAGAUUGCGACCUCGAUGUUGGAUUAAAAAAAAUUAUUGGUGUAGAAGCUAAUAAAUUAGGUCUGUUCGACCUUUAAAAUUUUACAUGAUCUGAGUUUAAACCGGUGUGAGCCAGGUCGGUUU